GGGAUACUAGCUCAGUUGGUAGAGCACCUGACUUUUAAUCAGGUUGUCGGGGGUUCAAAUCCCCCGUGUCUCA
This 73-nucleotide transfer RNA is filed under the name Lachnospiraceae bacterium A10. It matches the Rfam family "tRNA". Rfam says of the family: Transfer RNA (tRNA) molecules are approximately 80 nucleotides in length. Lineage: Bacteria; Bacillati; Bacillota; Clostridia; Lachnospirales; Lachnospiraceae. The record is from Rfam by way of RNAcentral. RNAcentral also lists the same sequence under 1 other name.